AUGGAAUGGAUCUGGACCUUUAUCUUCCUCCUGUCAGUAACUGCAGGAGUGUACUCACAGGUUCAGCUGCAGCAAUCUGGAGCUGAGCUGGUGAGGCCUGGGGCUUCAGUGAAGUUGUCCUGCAAGGCUUCUGGCUACAGUUUCACUGAUUAUGACAUAUAUUGGGUGAAGCAGAGUCCUGGACAGGGCCUGGAAUUGAUUGGAGGUAUUUAUCCUGGAAAUGGUAAUACUAUCUACAAUGAGAAGUUCAAGGGCAAGGCCACAUUGACUGUAGACACAUCCUCCAACACAGCCUACUUGCAGCUCAGCAGCCUCAAAUCUGAGGAUUCUGCCAUCUAUUACUGUGCAAGGUUGAUGAAAUAUUAUUAA
This is a non-coding RNA of Arvicanthis niloticus (Nile rat), 369 nucleotides long. Lineage: Eukaryota; Metazoa; Chordata; Mammalia; Rodentia; Muridae. The record is from the annotation of a RefSeq genome assembly.